UGUUCAAUACUGGCUGAAGUCGCGAGGUUAUUGUUUACACUCUCGCAAUUCAAUGGGACAGCAUCCGAAGCCCUAUCUACGUUAGUUGUAAAUUUAUUAUAAUAACUUACUCUUUGAAAAGGCUGUAUUUACACAGUUUUGAUCAAGAUGAGCAAGGGAUGCCAAUUCUGCUGUUGGCAAGGUACUGAGCCAGUCACCAAACACCACAAGUCCCUUCUAUAGGGUUAACCUUUGAGCCAUUACCGAUAGAUAAAACCGCCCCCCACAAGACAACUUGCCGUAUUUUGAAAAUUUCAACUACAACUUUUAAUAAUUUGAGCUGAUUAAGAAGAGAAAUUAAUUUUACAGUAUACUCAAGUUCACAGGCAAACUUGUAGAAUCAAGUUGAGUAACAUCGUUACCCAAAUUUAUGACAUGGCAAAUUCACAGACAUAUAAAUCCAGAAAAGAAUAAAGAAAACAGAAACUGCUAACGACUAUGUUCAUUGUAACUAAAUAUUAAAUCAUGAGGGAAAAAAGUAUAUGGUCCUCAUAAAAAUAAUUUAUGAAGAGAUUAAAAUCGCGUUGCUUGAGUUCGUAUUCUCGCAUACGAUCUUGCUGAACGAUGGACACUCCGAGUCUUACUGUAACUUCUUAUGACUAAUGAGCUUUUUUUUUAAAUUUGAUCUUUGUUUAGCUAUACAUGAAACCGCUUUCUCAGAUAAGAAGAGGUCUCAAAUUUUCAACAUUCGACGUGAUUAAACGAAUUUAUAUAAAUCAAAUGAAGUUAAAAAAAAAGAAAGGAUUUCAUAAAAAUUCGUAGCUCACCUUACACACAUUUGAACAAAUACAAGCUGGGAACUUUUACUGAAGUCAAUAACUUAUUUUGCUAAACGAAGCUUAUGUUGUAAUUAACGAAUGCUUAAUUACAAGCUGCACAUAACAACGAUUCGCAGUAUACUGAAUAGUGAGAAUCCGUAUACAGAAC
This is a non-coding RNA of Schizosaccharomyces pombe (fission yeast), 966 nucleotides long. The record is from the annotation of a GenBank genome assembly. NCBI's taxonomy places the organism in Eukaryota, Fungi, Ascomycota, Schizosaccharomycetes, Schizosaccharomycetales, Schizosaccharomycetaceae.